Molecule: ribosomal RNA, 277 nt
Filed under: uncultured prokaryote
Description: partial 16S ribosomal RNA
Rfam family: Bacterial small subunit ribosomal RNA
Source: RNAcentral
UACGUAGGUGGCGAGCGUUGUCCGGAAUUACUGGGUGUAAAGGGCGUGUAGGCGGGACGGCAAGUCAGAUGUGAAAUACCUCGGCCUAACUGGGGUGCUGCAUCUGAAACUGUCGUUCUUGAGUGUCGGAGAGGAAAGUGGAAUUCCCAGUGUAGCGGUGAAAUGCGUAGAGAUUGGGGGGAACACCAGUGGCGAAGGCGGCUUUCUGGACGAUAACUGACGCUGAGGCUCGAAAGCGUGGGUAGCAAACAGGAUUAGAUACCCCGGUAGUCCCUGA